Molecule: ribosomal RNA, 1463 nt
Filed under: Bacillus subtilis subsp. subtilis
Lineage: Bacteria; Bacillati; Bacillota; Bacilli; Caryophanales; Bacillaceae
Description: bacterial SSU rRNA
Rfam family: Bacterial small subunit ribosomal RNA
Source: RNAcentral
ACGAACGCUGGCGGCGUGCCUAAUACAUGCAAGUCGAGCGGACAGAUGGGAGCUUGCUCCCUGAUGUUAGCGGCGGACGGGUGAGUAACACGUGGGUAACCUGCCUGUAAGACUGGGAUAACUCCGGGAAACCGGGGCUAAUACCGGAUGGUUGUUUGAACCGCAUGGUUCAAACAUAAAAGGUGGCUUCGGCUACCACUUACAGAUGGACCCGCGGCGCAUUAGCUAGUUGGUGAGGUAACGGCUCACCAAGGCAACGAUGCGUAGCCGACCUGAGAGGGUGAUCGGCCACACUGGGACUGAGACACGGCCCAGACUCCUACGGGAGGCAGCAGUAGGGAAUCUUCCGCAAUGGACGAAAGUCUGACGGAGCAACGCCGCGUGAGUGAUGAAGGUUUUCGGAUCGUAAAGCUCUGUUGUUAGGGAAGAACAAGUACCGUUCGAAUAGGGCGGUACCUUGACGGUACCUAACCAGAAAGACCACGGCUAACUACGUGCCAGCAGCCGCGGUAAUACGUAGGUGGCAAGCGUUGUCCGGAAUUAUUGGGCGUAAAGGGCUCGCAGGCGGUUUCUUAAGUCUGAUGUGAAAGCCCCCGGCUCAACCGGGGAGGGUCAUUGGAAACUGGGGAACUUGAGUGCAGAAGAGGAGAGUGGAAUUCCACGUGUAGCGGUGAAAUGCGUAGAGAUGUGGAGGAACACCAGUGGCGAAGGCGACUCUCUGGUCUGUAACUGACGCUGAGGAGCGAAAGCGUGGGGAGCGAACAGGAUUAGAUACCCUGGUAGUCCACGCCGUAAACGAUGAGUGCUAAGUGUUAGGGGGUUUCCGCCCCUUAGUGCUGCAGCUAACGCAUUAAGCACUCCGCCUGGGGAGUACGGUCGCAAGACUGAAACUCAAAGGAAUUGACGGGGGCCCGCACAAGCGGUGGAGCAUGUGGUUUAAUUCGAAGCAACGCGAAGAACCUUACCAGGUCUUGACAUCCUCUGACAAUCCUAGAGAUAGGACGUCCCCUUCGGGGGCAGAGUGACAGGUGGUGCAUGGUUGUCGUCAGCUCGUGUCGUGAGAUGUUGGGUUAAGUCCCGCAACGAGCGCAACCCUUGAUCUUAGUUGCCAGCAUUCAGUUGGGCACUCUAAGGUGACUGCCGGUGACAAACCGGAGGAAGGUGGGGAUGACGUCAAAUCAUCAUGCCCCUUAUGACCUGGGCUACACACGUGCUACAAUGGACAGAACAAAGGGCAGCGAAACCGCGAGGUUAAGCCAAUCCCACAAAAUCUGUUCUCAGUUCGGAUCGCAGUCUGCAACUCGACUGCGUGAAGCUGGAAUCGCUAGUAAUCGCGGAUCAGCAUGCCGCGGKAAUACGUUCCCGGSCCUUGUACACACCGCCCGUCACACCACGAGAGUUUGUAACACCCGAAGUCGGUGAGGUAACCUUUUAGGAGCCAGCCGCCGAAGGUGGGACAGAUG